Molecule: long non-coding RNA, 835 nt
Filed under: Monodelphis domestica (gray short-tailed opossum)
Lineage: Eukaryota; Metazoa; Chordata; Mammalia; Didelphimorphia; Didelphidae
Description: lncRNA (ENSMODG00000048127.1)
Source: RNAcentral
GAUCUCCAAGAGACAAAGUAUCAAAAGAAAAGGAGAGAACUGUGGGGGAUACCUUUGGUUAAGAGAAGAGCAUUGAUCAUCAAAAAAAUAAGAAACAAAGAAGUAAUCAGUCAGGUGGAAGGACACCACAAUGUCAGAAAAAGCUGAAGGAGGAGAGAACUGUCUGGAAGAACACUGUGUUCCAGAACACUGGAAGAACUGUGUUUCAUAAGUAAACAAUGUCAAAAGCUGGAGAGAGAAACCAGAAGGAUGAGUGAGGACUGAGAAUAAAUUACUGUUUUAGCAAUUAACAUAUUCUUGAUAGUCUUGAAGAUGGGAGUUUCAGCCAAGUGAUAAGGGUUUAUGGAUAUGAGCCACAGGACCAGAGCCACAGGCCAAGAUAAAAAACAGGGAUAUAAAAAAUACUACUGCCACUAAUAUGCUUUUGUCCAAGAUUGACAGCACCAGAAGCAUCCCCACCCUAAUUUUUUUUGACAAGAGAAUGAAGAAUAAUGGAGACAAAUAAAAGAUAGAGGGCACAACUGAGAGCAGUAGGUAGAAUCUACAAAUAGAGAAAAUCGGUCUUAAUGAAAACAAAACCCUACUAACAAUGAGAGAUAUUGCAAAGUGGAAGAGACUGCUUUAAUUGAUUUCUCUUCAUUGAAGAUUCUCCAGCAAAGCCUGGGCAUCCAUUUGUCAGGCUCUUCAUAUUCCUGGAAACCCUUGAGAACAGGGCUGACCAUUGAGAGUGACCCAACAUCCUUCACCUUAUUCCUCCAUUGCCAAGAUGAUUUCAGGAAUGACUCCUUGAGGAAAAGACCCUGCUUCACCUGUCUGGGUUCACCCCAACACAGCC